RNAcentral lists this ribosomal RNA (244 nucleotides) under Stenotrophomonas maltophilia. RNAcentral's name for it is "partial 16S ribosomal RNA". It matches the Rfam family "Bacterial small subunit ribosomal RNA", at positions 62 to 302 of the family's 1533-position model. Lineage: Bacteria; Pseudomonadati; Pseudomonadota; Gammaproteobacteria; Lysobacterales; Lysobacteraceae. The record is from RNAcentral.
UCGAACGGCAGCACAGGAGAGCUUGCUCUCUGGGUGGCGAGUGGCGGACGGGUGAGGAAUACAUCGGAAUCUACUCUGUCGUGGGGGAUAACGUAGGGAAACUUACGCUAAUACCGCAUACGACCUACGGGUGAAAGCAGGGGACCUUCGGGCCUUGCGCGAUUGAAUGAGCCGAUGUCGGAUUAGCUAGUUGGCGGGGUAAAGGCCCACCAAGGCGACGAUCCGUAGCUGGUCUGAGAGGAUG